RNAcentral lists this unclassified non-coding RNA (1663 nucleotides) under Cotesia glomerata. Its description in RNAcentral is "transcription factor Sox-2-like, transcript variant X1". The record is from RNAcentral. Lineage: Eukaryota; Metazoa; Arthropoda; Insecta; Hymenoptera; Braconidae.
GUUGUUACACUCUGUCACAGAGUUUGCCUGCUCCGCUCCGAUAUCACUCCUAUCGUUAUCAAUGAUAUCAAUAAUCGUCAAUAAUAAAAAUUGAACAUCAACCAUUGUCAAUAAAAAUAAAAAAUAUUCUACCGAAAAAUUUUCAAAAAAUAUUUUUUUAUUUUUCUGAUUUUGUUUAAAAAAUUCCAAAACACGUGUAGUGAAAACUGACAUGAAUCAUUUGUAAUUACUGACACGUCCGGUAGUGAAUUUUCAUUGAAAAAUUUAGUGUAUUAUAUCGGAGCGAAGAGCGGCGAUAUUUCUGAUUGAUAGAGUAAAUAAAUAAAAAUAAAUAUUUAAAUAUACGAGUGGCUGUUGGUUGUCAAGUGUGUGUCUGGUGUAAGUGUGUGCAGUGUGUGUGUGAGUGAUUGCCAAUGGCAAUGAUUUAGCGAGAGUUGACAUAUAAUAUUUACAGUGGAGGCAUAUCCGCGGUUGCACGUGACAUCCACUGACACGCGGACAAUGCAAUGGAAUUUUCGGUUUCGAAUCUAGUGCGUUUUGUGCUGGUGCUUCUGCAGUACUGAAAUAUCCUAUCCCUGUCGGUCUCUUUCUAUCCGAUGGUGAUCGUGAUCGGAUCUCAUGAUGCUCAUCGCUCUGGAGUACUCUCUGCUCCAGAAUUCAACAUCCAGAAUGUGUGCAUGUAGAUAAUAAAGGUGUGCUAAUGUGUGUAUGCAAGUGUCUCUGUGUCAUGUCUCGUAUAUGUGUGAUAUGUUAUAUAUCCAGUUUGCAGUGUAAAGUGGACCCUGUGAUUUUGAUUACCAGGUUCCAUUGAGCUUCGAUCGAGGUGACUGAGUGGAUGACUUCUAGUGAUAGUGAUUACGAUCGAGAGUCCAAGUCAAGCACGCUCCGCUGCCAGUCCUCUGUUUACAUCCUCCGAUUUUCAUAUUUAGGGACUAAUUGUCGAUCAUCGAUCUUCUUUCGUCCAAUGAUACCCUCCAGAAUACGAGCGUCAAAAUCAAGGAGUAGGAGCCAGCCGACCCCCGAGGCAUUGGUAGUAUGCAUGCGCAGAAGGGAGAAGUCGAUUGGCACUGUGAUUUUGCAAUCUAGACACGUAUGGAGUGGAGUCUCUCGCGGAAUAUUAGCCGGUAGCUGAUUCGAGCCUACACAUUGGACGGCAAGCAGAGGGACUGACGUGCAUACUGUAUUAAGCCCUGGGGACUUUGCUGUCUUGAUCAACAUCCAACGGUCGAUUCAAUUCCAAAGUGCACUCUCAUUAUCAAGAACCAGUUAAAUAAAAGUAUCAAGCAAAUCCUGUCUGGCUCAUCAAAUUGCAAGAUAGGCUCAUCAGCUCAUCACAUCUGACUGCUAAGAGAGUAAAUUCACUGACACUGGAUAUACUAGAUCUGCUGCAGGAUCUGACGGGUAGUGACUGCCGACACGUGCGCACCUCCCCCUCCCCAUAAUCGAGAGGGUGUUUUGUGUACAUCAACUGAGAUCAAACACGCGUCCUUUUUAUCUGCUUUGAUUUUGUAAAUUGAAAAAAGAUGAUCGGCUGCUUUAAUUUUUUAGAUAGAGUCUUUCAAUUUGGAUUUAAAUCGACUGGGUUAGAAUCUGAUCUAUGUAUUAAGUAUAACACACUGAUAGAAGGAUUUAUUUGUAUUAAAAAAUAAUUGUUAAUAGUUAA